Molecule: ribosomal RNA, 393 nt
Filed under: uncultured bacterium
Lineage: Bacteria
Description: partial 16S ribosomal RNA
Rfam family: Bacterial small subunit ribosomal RNA
Source: RNAcentral
AUACGGAGGAUCCGAGCGUUAUCCGGAUUUAUUGGGUUUAAAGGGUGCGCAGGCGGGAGAUUAAGUCGGCGGUGAAAUUUUGCAGCUCAACUGUAAAAGGGCCUUCGAAACUGGUUUCCUUGAGUGUGGAUGAGGGAGGCGGAAUUUGUGGUGUAGCGGUGAAAUGCUUAGAUAUCACGAGGGACUCCGAUUGCGCAGGCAGCUUACUAAACUACUACUGACGCUCAGGCACGAAGGCGUGGGGAUCAAACAGGAUUAGAUACCCUGGUAGUCCACGCAGUAAACGAUGAUUACUAGCUGUUUGCGAUACAAUGUAAGCGGCUGAGCGAAAGCGUUAAGUAAUCCACCUGGGGAGUACGUUCGCAAGAAUGAAACUCAAAUGAAUUGACGGGG